Molecule: ribosomal RNA, 271 nt
Filed under: uncultured archaeon
Lineage: Archaea
Description: partial 16S ribosomal RNA
Rfam family: Archaeal small subunit ribosomal RNA
Source: RNAcentral
CAGCGCCACGAGUGGUAACCACGUUUAUUGGGCCUAAAGCGUCCGUAGCUGGUUUGAUAAAUUCUUUGUGAAAUCAUUGUGCUUAACGCAAUGGCGUGCAGAGAAGACUGUCAAGCUUGGGACCGGGAGGAGUCAGAAGUAUUCCGGGGGGAGCGGUUAGAUGCUAUAAUCCUCGGAGGACUACCUGUGGCGAAGGCGUCUGACCAGAACGGAUCCGACAGUGAGGGACGAAAGCCAGGGGAGCAAACCGGAUUAGAUACCCGAGUAGUCC